Molecule: ribosomal RNA, 646 nt
Filed under: Desulfobulbaceae bacterium PR6_H02
Lineage: Bacteria; Pseudomonadati; Thermodesulfobacteriota; Desulfobulbia; Desulfobulbales; Desulfobulbaceae
Description: bacterial SSU rRNA
Rfam family: Bacterial small subunit ribosomal RNA
Source: RNAcentral
GUCCUGAUAUCUGGAAUAACACUCCGAAAGGUGUGCUAAUACCGGAUACGCUGAGAAAUCAGGAAAGGUGGCCUCUUCAUGAAAGCUACUGUAUCAGGAGGAGCUUGCGUACCAUUAGCUAGUUGGUGGGGUAAUGGCCUACCAAGGCAACGAUGGUUAGCGGGUCUGAGAGGAUGAUCCGCCACACUGGAACUGGAACACGGACCAGACUCCUACGGGAGGCAGCAGUGAGGAAUAUUGCGCAAUGGGGGCAACCCUGACGCAGCGACGCCGCGUGGAUGAUGAAGGCCUUCGGGUCGUAAAAUCCUGUCAGAUGGAAAGAAAUGUCAUAUGCCUAAUAUGUGUAUGAUUUGACGGUACCAUCAAAGGAAGCACCGGCUAACUCCGUGCCAGCAGCCGCGGUAAUACGGAGGGUGCAAGCGUUGUUCGGAAUUACUGGGCGUAAAGCGCGCGUAGGCGGCUUUUUAAGUCAGAUGUGAAAGUCCACGGCUCAACCGUGGAAGUGCAUUUGAUACUGGGAAGCUUGAGUACUGGAGGGGAUGGUGGAAUUCCCGGUGUAGAGGUGAAAUUCGUAGAUAUCGGGAGGAAUACCGGUGGCGAAGGCGACCAUCUGGCCAGAUACUGACGCUGAGGUGCGAAAGCGUGG